UAGGGAAUUUUCGGGCAAUGGGGGCGAAAGCCUGACCGAGCAACGCCGCGUGAACGAAGAAGUAUUUCGGUAUGUAAAGUUCUUUUAUUGGGGAAGAAAAAUAACCAAAUUGACGGUACCCAAUGAAUAAGCUCCGGCUAACUACGUGCCAGCAGCCGCGGUAAUACGUAGGGAGCGAGCGUUAUCCGGAAUUAUUGGGCGUAAAGGGUGCGUAGAUGGCAAUAUAAGUCUUAUGUAAAAAUGCUGGGCUCAACCCAGUAGGGCAUAAGAUACUGUAUAGCUCGAGUAUUGGAGAGGCAAGUGGAACUCCAUGUGUAGCGGUAAAAUGCGUAAAUAUAUGGAAGAACACCAGUGGCGAAGGCGGCUUGCUAGCCAGAUACUGACAUUGAGGCACGAAAGCGUGGGGAGCAAACA
This 414-nucleotide ribosomal RNA is filed under the name uncultured Anaeroplasma sp. Its description in RNAcentral is "bacterial SSU rRNA". It matches the Rfam family "Bacterial small subunit ribosomal RNA", at positions 355 to 774 of the family's 1533-position model. Lineage: Bacteria; Bacillati; Mycoplasmatota; Mollicutes; Anaeroplasmatales; Anaeroplasmataceae. The record is from RNAcentral.